UAAAGGGCAAGGGUGAAAAGGUAGGGUAAGAGCCUACCGAAUGCGGUGUGAAUCGCAUGUCUGGCAAACCCCAUCCGGAGCAAGAUCGAAUAGAGGGGGAGGAAGCUGCCCGCUGACCCUUGGGUCGGUCGCUCGAGGAGCGCCGCGAGGCGUUUCGGAGAUAAAUGGCUAUCUGAACACAGAACCCGGCUUACGAACUGCUCAUUUUU
RNAcentral lists this RNase P RNA (209 nucleotides) under Synergistaceae bacterium. RNAcentral's name for it is "partial RNase P RNA component class A". It matches the Rfam family "Bacterial RNase P class A", at positions 142 to 367 of the family's 367-position model. Rfam says of the family: Ribonuclease P (RNase P) is a ubiquitous endoribonuclease, found in archaea, bacteria and eukarya as well as chloroplasts and mitochondria. Its best characterised activity is the generation of mature 5'-ends of tRNAs by cleaving the 5'-leader elements of precursor-tRNAs. Cellular RNase Ps are ribonucleoproteins. The record is from RNAcentral. Lineage: Bacteria; Thermotogati; Synergistota; Synergistia; Synergistales; Synergistaceae.